AGCGAACGCUGGCGGCAGGCCUAACACUUGCAAGUCGAACGAACUCUUCGGAGUUAGUGGCGGACGGGUGAGUAACACGUGGGAACGUGCCUUUUGGUUCGGAAUAACUCAGGGAAACUUGUGCUAAUACCGAAUGUGCCCUUCGGGGGAAAGAUUUAUCGCCAUUAGAGCGGCCCGCGUCUGAUUAGCUAGUUGGUGAGGUAACGGCUCACCAAGGCGACGAUCAGUAGCUGGUCUGAGAGGAUGACCAGCCACACUGGGACUGAGACACGGCCCAGACUCCUACGGGAGGCAGCAGUGGGGAAUCUUGCGCAAUGGGCGAAAGCCUGACGCAGCCAUGCCGCGUGAAUGAUGAAGGUCUUAGGAUUGUAAAAUUCUUUCACCGGGGACGAUAAUGACGGUACCCGGAGAAGAAGCCCCGGCUAACUUCGUG
This 433-nucleotide ribosomal RNA is filed under the name uncultured bacterium. Its description in RNAcentral is "partial 16S ribosomal RNA". It matches the Rfam family "Bacterial small subunit ribosomal RNA", at positions 29 to 507 of the family's 1533-position model. The record is from RNAcentral.